RNAcentral lists this ribosomal RNA (253 nucleotides) under uncultured bacterium. RNAcentral describes it as "partial 16S ribosomal RNA". It matches the Rfam family "Bacterial small subunit ribosomal RNA", at positions 524 to 776 of the family's 1533-position model. The record is from RNAcentral.
UACGAAGGGUGCAAGCGUUGUCCGGAUUCAUUGGGCGUAAAGCGCGCGUAGGCGGUUUGGUAAGUCGGAUGUGAAAUCCCGAGGCUCAACCUCGGGACUGCAUCCGAUACUGCCCGACUAGAGGUAGGUAGGGGAGAUCGGAAUUCCUGGUGUAGCGGUGAAAUUCGUAGAUAUUCGGAAGAACACCAGUGGCGAAGGCGACUUACUGGACACAUAUUGACGCUGAGGUGCGAAAGCGUGGGGAGCAAACAGG